AGUUUGAUCCUGGCUCAGGAUGAACGCUAGCUACAGGCUUAACACAUGCAAGUCGAGGGGCAGCAUGGUCUUAGCUUGCUAAGGCCGAUGGCGACCGGCGCACGGGUGAGUAACACGUAUCCAACCUGCCGUCUACUCUUGGACAGCCUUCUGAAAGGAAGAUUAAUACAAGAUGGCAUCAUGAGUCCGCAUGUUCACAUGAUUAAAGGUAUUCCGGUAGACGAUGGGGAUGCGUUCCAUUAGAUAGUAGGCGGGGUAACGGCCCACCUAGUCUUCGAUGGAUAGGGGUUCUGAGAGGAAGGUCCCCCACAUUGGAACUGAGACACGGUCCAAACUCCUACGGGAGGCAGCAGUGAGGAAUAUUGGUCAAUGGGCGAGAGCCUGAACCAGCCAAGUAGCGUGAAGGAUGACUGCCCUAUGGGUUGUAAACUUCUUUUAUAAAGGAAUAAAGUCGGGUAUGCAUACCCGUUUGCAUGUACUUUAUGAAUAAGGAUCGGCUAACUCCGUGCCAGCAGCCGCGGUAAUACGGAGGAUCCGAGCGUUAUCCGGAUUUAUUGGGUUUAAAGGGAGCGUAGAUGGAUGUUUAAGUCAGUUGUGAAAGUUUGCGGCUCAACCGUAAAAUUGCAGUUGAUACUGGAUAUCUUGAGUGCAGUUGAGGCAGGCGGAAUUCGUGGUGUAGCGGUGAAAUGCUUAGAUAUCACGAAGAACUCCGAUUGCGAAGGCAGCCUGCUAAGCUGCAACUGACAUUGAGGCUCGAAAGUGUGGGUAUCAAACAGGAUUAGAUACCCUGGUAGUCCACACGGUAAACGAUGAAUACUCGCUGUUUGCGAUAUACUGCAAGCGGCCAAGCGAAAGCGUUAAGUAUUCCACCUGGGGAGUACGCCGGCAACGGUGAAACUCAAAGGAAUUGACGGGGGCCCGCACAAGCGGAGGAACAUGUGGUUUAAUUCGAUGAUACGCGAGGAACCUUACCCGGGCUUAAAUUGCAGAUGAAUUACGGUGAAAGCCGUAAGCCGCAAGGCAUCUGUGAAGGUGCUGCAUGGUUGUCGUCAGCUCGUGCCGUGAGGUGUCGGCUUAAGUGCCAUAACGAGCGCAACCCUUGUUGUCAGUUACUAACAGGUUCCGCUGAGGACUCUGACAAGACUGCCAUCGUAAGAUGUGAGGAAGGUGGGGAUGACGUCAAAUCAGCACGGCCCUUACGUCCGGGGCUACACACGUGUUACAAUGGGGGGUACAGAGGGCCGCUACCACGCGAGUGGAUGCCAAUCCCCAAAACCUCUCUCAGUUCGGACUGGAGUCUGCAACCCGACUCCACGAAGCUGGAUUCGCUAGUAAUCGCGCAUCAGCCACGGCGCGGUGAAUACGUUCCCGGGCCUUGUACACACCGCCCGUCAAGCCAUGGGAGCCGGGGGUACCUGAAGUGCGUAACCGCGAGGAGCGCCCUAGGGUAAAACUGGUGACUGGGGCUAAGUCGUAACAAGGUACCC
This 1487-nucleotide ribosomal RNA is filed under the name uncultured bacterium. Its description in RNAcentral is "bacterial SSU rRNA". It matches the Rfam family "Bacterial small subunit ribosomal RNA". The record is from RNAcentral.